This 451-nucleotide ribosomal RNA is filed under the name Kiefferia pericarpiicola. RNAcentral's name for it is "partial large subunit ribosomal RNA". It matches the Rfam family "Eukaryotic large subunit ribosomal RNA", at positions 329 to 657 of the family's 3401-position model. Lineage: Eukaryota; Metazoa; Arthropoda; Insecta; Diptera; Cecidomyiidae. The record is from RNAcentral.
CGAAACCGAUAGCGAACAAGUACCGUGAGGGAAAGUUGAAAAGUACUCUGAAUAGAGAGUUAAAUAGUACGUGAAACCGCUUAGGGGUUAAGCCCGAUGAACCCGAAUAUCUGAUGUGAGAAAUUCAAUACUGUUCACUCAACGGAUAUUAUGCYCUUUUCGUUCAUAAUACUACGUUGUUGUCCAAUGAUUCUAUGGCUCUUUCAWUUACUGAACAGAUGAUUUAACACACGGACGAGAUGUAUAAGUUUAUUCGAUCUCUGAUGUGUUAACAUGUCAUAUGAAUAAAAUCGUUUUGUACCUGUUUAAAUAGUCGAUGGAUUUUAAGUGAAUCAUGCUUGCAAUUCAUUUUGCGUUUCGUGUUAUCGGCCAUUUGGUUGGUAAUAGCAGAAAUGGCAUGCAUUCGAUUAACAAUGCGAUAGAUUUGGGAUACUUUCAGGACCCGUCUUGA